This 454-nucleotide ribosomal RNA is filed under the name uncultured bacterium. RNAcentral's name for it is "partial 16S ribosomal RNA". It matches the Rfam family "Bacterial small subunit ribosomal RNA", at positions 341 to 792 of the family's 1533-position model. The record is from RNAcentral.
ACGGGAGGCAGCAGUGAGGAAUAUUGGACAAUGGGGGCAACCCUGAUCCAGCCAAACCGCGUGAGGGAUGAAGGUCCUACGGAUCGUAAACCUCUUUUAUGUGGGAAUAAUUAGCGGAACGUGUUCCGCUUUGAAGGUACCACUUGAAUAGGCAUCGGCUAACUCCGUGCCAGCAGCCGCGGUAAUACGGAGGAUGCAGGCGUUAUCCGGAUUUAUUAGGUUUAAAGGGUGCGCAGGCGGGACAUUAAGUCGGUGGUGAAAUACCGUGGCCCAACCACGGGGCUGCCAUCGAUACUGAUGACCUUGAGUGCGUGUGACGUAGGCGGAAUGUGGAGUGUAGCGGUGAAAUGCUUAGAUAUUCCACAGAACACCGAUUGCGAAGGCAGCUGUCCAGAGAUCAUCUGACGCUCAGGCACGAAAGCAUGGGUAUCAAACAGGAUUAGAUACCCUGGUA